Molecule: ribosomal RNA, 427 nt
Filed under: uncultured bacterium
Lineage: Bacteria
Description: partial 16S ribosomal RNA
Rfam family: Bacterial small subunit ribosomal RNA
Source: RNAcentral
GUGGGGAAUAUUGGGCAAUGGGGGAAACCCUGACCCAGCGACGCCGCGUGAGGGAAGAAGGCCUUAGGGUCGUAAACCUCUGUUGUGUGGGAAGAAGAGCGUGACGGUACCACACGAGGAAGUCCCGGCUAACUACGUGCCAGCAGCCGCGGUAAUACGUAGGGGACGAGCGUUGUCCGGAUUUACUGGGCGUCAAGGGCGUGUAGGCGGUCAUUUAAGUCAGCUGUGAAAUGGUUUGGCUUAACCGGAUCAUGCGGUUGAAACGGGAUGACUGGAGUGCUGGAGAGGCAAGUGGAAUUCCCAGUGUAGCGGUGAAAUGCGUAGAGAUUGGGAAGAACACCGGUGGCGAAGGCGACUUGCUGGCCAGCAACUGACGCUGAGGCGCGAAAGCCAGGGGAGCAAACGGGAUUAGAAACCCCUGUAGUCC